GAUGAACGCUGGCGGCGUGCCUAAUACAUGCAAGUCGAGCGAACGGACGAGAAGCUUGCUUUUCUGAUGUUAGCGGCGGACGGGUGAGUAACACGUGGAUAACCUACCUAUAAGACUGGGAUAACUUCGGGAAACCGGAGCUAAUACCGGAUAAUAUUUUGAACCGCAUGGUUCAAAAGUGAAAGACGGUCUUGCUGUCACUUAUAGAUGGAUCCGCGCUGCAUUAGCUAGUUGGUAAGGUAACGGCUUACCAAGGCAACGAUGCAUAGCCAACCUGAGAGGGUGAUCGGCCACACUGGAACUGAGACACGGUCCAGACUCCUACGGGAGGCAGCAGUAGGGAAUCUUCCGCAAUGGGCGAAAGCCUGACGGAGCAACGCCGCGUGAGUGAUGAAGGUCUUCGGAUCGUAAAACUCUGUUAUUAGGGAAGAACAUAUGUGUAAGUAACUGUGCACAUCUUGACGGUACCUAAUCAGAAAGCCACGGCUAACUACGUG
RNAcentral lists this ribosomal RNA (497 nucleotides) under uncultured bacterium. RNAcentral's name for it is "partial 16S ribosomal RNA". It matches the Rfam family "Bacterial small subunit ribosomal RNA", at positions 28 to 507 of the family's 1533-position model. The record is from RNAcentral.